This 459-nucleotide ribosomal RNA is filed under the name Staphylococcus aureus. RNAcentral describes it as "partial 23S ribosomal RNA". It matches the Rfam family "Bacterial large subunit ribosomal RNA", at positions 105 to 558 of the family's 2925-position model. Lineage: Bacteria; Bacillati; Bacillota; Bacilli; Caryophanales; Staphylococcaceae. The record is from RNAcentral.
CAGAGAUUUCCGAAUGGGGAAACCCAGCAUGAGUUAUGUCAUGUUAUCGAUAUGUGAAUACAUAGCAUAUCAGAAGGCACACCCGGAGAACUGAAACAUCUUAGUACCCGGAGGAAGAGAAAGAAAAUUCGAUUCCCUUAGUAGCGGCGAGCGAAACGGGAAGAGCCCAAACCAACAAGCUUGCUUGUUGGGGUUGUAGGACACUCUAUACGGAGUUACAAAGGACGACAUUAGACGAAUCAUCUGGAAAGAUGAAUCAAAGAAGGUAAUAAUCCUGUAGUCGAAAAUGUUGUCUCUCUUGAGUGGAUCCUGAGUACGACGGAGCACGUGAAAUUCCGUCGGAAUCUGGGAGGACCAUCUCCUAAGGCUAAAUACUCUCUAGUGACCGAUAGUGAACCAGUACCGUGAGGGAAAGGUGAAAAGCACCCCGGAAGGGGAGUGAAAUAGAACCUGAAACCG